RNAcentral lists this ribosomal RNA (263 nucleotides) under uncultured bacterium. RNAcentral describes it as "partial 16S ribosomal RNA". It matches the Rfam family "Bacterial small subunit ribosomal RNA", at positions 793 to 1055 of the family's 1533-position model. The record is from RNAcentral.
GUCCACGCCGUAAACGAUGAUAACUAGCUGUUGGAAAGAUAAAACUUUUUAGUAGCGAAGCUAACGCGAUAAGUUAUCCGCCUGGGGAGUACGGCCGCAAGGUUAAAACUCAAAGGAAUUGACGGGGGCCCGCACAAGCGGUGGAGCAUGUGGUUUAAUUCGAUGCAACGCGAGGAACCUUACCUACUCUUGACAUCCUCAGAACUUGUUUGAAAAACUUGGUGCCUUCGGGAACUGAGAGACAGGUGCUGCAUGGCUGUCGU